CACACGCGCCCAGUCACACCAUGGGAGUUGGUCUUACCCGACGGCGCUGCGCCAACCGCAAGGAGGCAGGCGACCACGGUAGGGUCAGCGACUGGGGUGAAGUCGUAACAAGGUAGCCGUAGGGGAACCUGCGGCUGGAUCACCUCCUUUCUAAGGAUGUUCCCUCAAGGUUGGCAUUCGCCGGCUUUAUCGGAACUCUUGGAACAACAGAGGCCAGUCAGGCCUCACGAUGCGGGACGCUGCCGUCUUCGUUUCUCUUUCUUCUCCGGAUACAUCGAUCAGGGGUCAGGUGAGUGUGCGAGCACUUGCGUGGCUUGGGAUGCGGUUCGGGCCUGUAGCUCAGGUGGUUAGAGCGCACCCCUGAUAAGGGUGAGGUCGGACGUUCGAGUCGUCCCAGGCCCACCAUUAUCGGGUUGCCCUUUGGGCAUGGGGCCUUAGCUCAGCUGGGAGAGCGGUAGCUUUGCAAGCUUCAGGUCGUCGGUUCGAUCCCGACAGGCUCCACCAUUUCCUUGAUCGUUCCGGAUGUCAUUGAGGUUCGCGCCUCCCCUCUCGUGUGUGGGAUGCGCGGAUGUUUGAAAUCGUAAAGAGGCGGCAUAUUCGGCCAGCGGGACAACCUAGUUCCCGCGCACCAGCCACGGCCCGCAGCCGUGCGCGCCGGAUAUGCCUGGCAAGCAAAAACAUGUCUUUGAUCUUGACGAUCGAAGACAGGUCUUUCUUUGGGUCGAUGGCCGCUGCCGAGCGGACAUCGAUCAUGAGAGUAAUCAAGUGUCGUAAGAGCAUCUGGUGGAUGCCUUGGCGCUGAGAGGCGAUGAAGGACGUGGUACGCUGCGAUAAGUCGUGGGGAGCUGCGAAGAAGCCUAUAG
This 863-nucleotide unclassified non-coding RNA is filed under the name Microvirga sp. RNAcentral describes it as "partial may contain 16S ribosomal RNA, 16S-23S ribosomal RNA intergenic spacer, and 23S ribosomal RNA". The stretch from base 1 to 150 matches the Rfam family "Bacterial small subunit ribosomal RNA", at positions 1386 to 1533 of the family's 1533-position model. Lineage: Bacteria; Pseudomonadati; Pseudomonadota; Alphaproteobacteria; Hyphomicrobiales; Methylobacteriaceae. The record is from RNAcentral.